This is a non-coding RNA of Paramisgurnus dabryanus, 4352 nucleotides long. The record is from RefSeq and is a predicted model, not a curated record. NCBI's taxonomy places the organism in Eukaryota, Metazoa, Chordata, Actinopteri, Cypriniformes, Cobitidae.
CUAAUGUCAGACGCUCUGGCUCCCGGUAUACAAUCGACUAUGGUGGCUGGUGCCUCAAUGUCAACGUUCCUGAGUAUAGAAUCUCCAAUAACCAGGGCACUUUUAACAGACGUCUCAGCUGGUGUAUUGCUGAGUGGAGAAAAUCUGUUUGAUAUUAAAACAGGAGCGUGAUUUGGGUGCCGAAUGUGACUAUGCCGCCUGACAGUCACCCAGUUAGUCAGCCGCCUUGACUCUGAAGUCGGAACCGAGCCAUGUGUAUUACGCUUAACACUAGGCGCACCCGAAACAGUGUUUGUUUUAUAGUUGACUCAAAUUAAAUAAGCACACAAUAACACUGUAAACAUAUUUGUUUUUGAUUGUGAAUAGUUCAAGACAAUCAGUUUCCCAUAUGAACUGAGUUUGCAUGGCAUUAUCACUACUCCUUUAAUGUUCUCUUACUGGAAAUCAUGUGAUAGUAUCUAAAGCGAUCCAGCAAAAAUUGUACAAGCCAACUUAAACAUCAUGAAAUCAAUAAAACUUUUUUAAUUGUAAAAGCGAAAAUUUAUUUUAUUGUAUAUAUAUGAGCACAUCGCUAGACAGGUAAGAAACAGUCAAGAGAUUUCAAGAUUUUUAUUUGUCACAUACACAGUUAUAUGCAUAAACAACCUGUUUGUAAGUAUGGUAUGCUCUAAAAAUGUAGAAAAUAUAUACAGGUGCUGGUCAUAUAAUUAGAAUAUCAUCAAAAAGUUUAUUUAUUUCACUUAUUCCAUUCAAAAAGUGAAACUUGUAUAUUAUAUUCAUUAAUUACACACAGACUUCUUUUAAUUUUGAUUAUAAUAAGAAUCUUAUAAGAUUAUAAAAUUAUCAGAAUAUUACUUAAGACCAAUACAAAGAAAGCCAACUAAACGUAUUAACAUAAAAAAGUAUGAGCAUGUACAGCACUUAAUACUUAGUUGGGGCUCCUUCUGUCUGAAUUACUGCAGCAAUGCGGCUUCGAUCAGUCUGUGGCACUGCUCAGGUAUUAUGAGAACCCAGGUUGCUCUGAUAGUGGUCUUCAUCUAUUUUGCAUUAUUAGGUCUGGCAUAUUGCAUCUUCCUCUUCACAAUACCCUAUAGGGGUUAAGGUCAGGCGAGUUUGCUGGCCAAUUAAGAACAGGGAUACUAUGGUCCUUAAACCAGGUACUGGUAGCUUUGGCACUGUGUGCCAGAAAUAAACAUUUGAAAUAUAUCAGUCUGUUGGUAAUGAAUGACUAUAAUAUACCAGUUUCACUUUUUGAAUGUAAUUAGUGACAUAAAUAAACUUUUUGAUGAUAUUCUAAUUAAAUGACCAGCACCUGUAGGGGGACAAUAAUGUGGAUUUAAUCUGCUUGGCCCCCUUUUUAGCGCUAAUUAUCCACAACGCAUCUUUAGUAAAUCCUGACAUCGCUAUUAAACGCCAAAAUGAUGGUUUGCGCUGGCACAAGCUGUUGGUAAAUCUGGCCCCAGGUCUCCUCCAGAAAUGAUUCCAAUUGUCUAUAAAACCCAUGUUAAGCUGUGGGCAACACUUUGACAUCCAGCCGUAAAGGAACACUAAUCUUCUAUACAUGUCAUAACCCAGACGGGGAGAGGAGAAGAGCAUAGAGGUAAGUAGUUAUUAUCCACAACUAGCUGUCAAAAUAUGAUUUAUUACCCUGUCAAUCACAUUUUGACAUAUAGUGGAGAUAUCAAUCAAAAGGUGUACAUGCUGUCCAGUUUUGAGUGUUGUAUUUUAUGGCUUUUAGACAGCGGCUGUCCGGAGCUGUGCAUGUUUUACAACGUGUCAAUCACCGCAUUGUUUUUCCUGUGUGUGUGUGUGUUUUUUGUCACGCGAAUGUUUGUCAUAUUUAUGGAUGUGUAAAAAAGUUUAUUGUUUUGGGUGUCCAGUUUCUGGACUGUCAGUUUUAACGACCGGCCUGUGUGUGCUCUCCCCCCUCCCUUCUUGCCCCUGUGUGUCUCACAGCGGGUGUGCGUUGUUGAAUCUAUUUUGUUUAACAACAUCAAAAGUUUCUUUAAAGUCAAUCAAGAAUCAAAUAUUUUAGUUGUAUCUGGUUAAACUUAAAUCUGAUAUUUUCUAUUGAUGUAUUUUCUUAGUUUCUGAUCAGACACAAACUUUCAGGCUAUAUCCACACGAAGCCGGUGCAUUCCCUAUCCGAUCAUUUUUUUUCCUUGCUCUAAAAAAAUAAUCCGUAAACACGAAACCACUGAAACCGACUGAAAGCGGUGUAGUAUAUAUGCCGGACCAGUAUGGGGCGCUGUAAUUCUGCCACAGAUAUACACUAUACACGGAGAAGAAGACUUUGAGCAUGCGCAUAGCCAACGUAUGGUGUUGUCCAGUAUCGCUUGUUGGUCACCACAAUUGCAUAGACGCAAUAGAUUUUGCUGUAAUAAAGCUAGUAGGCUUUAGUAGCUUCUGUAGCACGAACACAAUCACGUAUCCGCCGUUAUUGUUGUUGCUGUUACGUGUGACGCUUCCGACACGUGAUGUGAUGACGUUUUCGCUACAGCAGACGAAACCGCAAGGGUGUCGGUUUCAGAUUUAUCCACUUUAGGACCAGGUUUCAAAAAAUAGCGGUUUCACUCUCUGAAAUCGCCGGAUCCGUGUGGAUGAAACGCCAAUACGAUAACAAAUUUAUGCGUAUAUAGUGAUUCGCGUCUCCGUGUGGACAGCCCCUCAGAUGCUGCUCUUAUGACCGUGUGUGUGUGGGGGGGGGGGGGGGUGGAUGCAGACAUGCAUCCUUUAUUGACAAGCGGGGGAGCGACAAGAGAUCGUCAGGAGUCAGUUUGUAUGGAGAAGAGCUGGUAUACUCAAACCUGCUGGUACGUAUAUGUGUUUUACUGUGUUCAUUCCAACAUUUUGCCUGAUUAUUUAAAAACUAAAAAUUUGAUCUCUGGUGUUGCAGCGGAAUUGUCUAAACUGAUAUUUAGUAUUCCUGGUAAAUCGGGGAGAAUAACGGACUGAAGAAAAAAACGUCAGCCCUGGAAUUUAGAACCCCCGCCGCUUAGGACAGAGACGUGAAGUGGCUCGUGUCACCUGGUUUGGAUAUCAUUAGCAAAGCAAUCGAUGUGUGCACUAUUGCAAGAUAGGGCUGUCACCUUUCGUUCGAAAAUCGAUUGCACAAUCGAUCGGACCAACAAAAAAAAGUUUCGAAAACGAAAAUAGGCAAUCGAUUUUAACCAAAUAUGUACACUAUUAAUUUUAAAAGAAUUAAACAGUUAAAAAUAUAGAUGUAACAAAACUCACAAACAAGCAGAAAAAGAAAAUAAAGAAUUCCGAAAGUGCAGUAGGUGUGCGAAAGCUAGACAGAAAAUACCCAGCAAUUUUACGCACCUUUAGUUUCACGCUUUAAAUCGCUGCAUCUAGUGUUUUGCAAAGAAAAUGGAGGACAACGUCAAUAAACCUGUGCAACACGAGAGAGCGUCGAAAUUGUGACCUUACAGGAGAUGAUGAGUUAUGACAAGGAGCCACCCUUGCGAGCUGACAGCGACCCGCUUUUGUGAUGGAAGAUUGGCAGUGCGAAAUACGCAGCUGGCAACGAAGUACCCGAGUUUCCCUGGGACAUCAGUGCGGUCGGAGUGCGUCUUCUUAACAGAUGGACAUAUAGUGAAUGAAAAGCGCUCUGCUCUUGACCCCUAAAAUGUUGAUCGACUUGUUUUCCUGAACAAUAAUUUGUAAUGGCCCUAGCCUUUUUGCGCAUUUCAUUAUGCCUGCCUAGUGCCGCCUAAGUGUCGGUUACAUUUAAUAAAAAAAUACACAGCAUGUUCUCAACUUCAAGUAAGUCUAUUUAAAGUUUCAUUUUUGAACAGUUGUUUGAAAUGGAUCGAAUCAUUAUUUAAAAUAAUUUUUGAAUUGCCUAAAUCAUAAAAGCAGCCGGUUGAAGCCUGCAGUAAUGUUUUUCAUUUAUGGCAGCAGUCCACUCUGCAUAUUUUUUUAGAGAAUGUUGCACUACUGUUGCUGUUUUUUAUUCUGCACGAAACUUAAUGACAAUGAAUAAGAAAUAUUGCUGACUUGUGCGUUUCAGGCACUCUCUUUACAUUUGUCUGUUAUUUGGCGUUGAAAAUGGAAACGUCUUUUACAUGGAAAAUCGAUUUUACAAUCGAUUCACUUAUAUAUAAAAAAUCGAAAAUGAUUUUUUCACAAAAGUGACAGCCCUAUUGCAAGAUCUAGAGUGGAUCUCCACGGUUAGGAUACAAACCACAACGCUUUGGACGUGUCUUUAAAAAGAGAAAAUCAGAGCCUUUUUGGAUUUGUCUGGAGGGCAUUUUAAACAUUUUGUAGCAGCUUGGAUUUUACACAUUGCGGAUGCUGGAGAUCCAUGUUUGAAUUGUCCACAAAGGUUGUCACUUGUUAAAAAACAC